UCAGUUAGCCGCCUAGGAGCCGCAGUCCUGGACCCCCCUCUGCUUCCUCUCUGGCGCCCCCUGUGGGUGGGCAGCGUGGUGGUGCUCACCAGCAUAUGUGCGGUAGCCCCCCACAGCCCCUGAACUCUGCCCCACAGGAAGCCCCUGUGACUGUCUUUCAGAUGUGGACACCAGGCUCCCCCUACCCCCCGCCUGCAGGUUGGCGGUGGUCUGCCC
This is a long non-coding RNA of Boleophthalmus pectinirostris (great blue-spotted mudskipper), 216 nucleotides long. RefSeq lists it as uncharacterized. The record is from RefSeq and is a predicted model, not a curated record. Lineage: Eukaryota; Metazoa; Chordata; Actinopteri; Gobiiformes; Gobiidae. The transcript is spliced from 3 exons.